GGAGAAAGAGGAGGAAAAGGUAACAGUGAUGGAGGAGGAGGUGAUGGCUUGGUGGUAACAUAGAGGCUUGUUGGUGACGUGUAGGUGGAGAAAGGUGGUGACACUAAUGAUGGUUACCAGAGUUAGAAAAGGAGGUGGUGAAGGAAGAGGAAGACAAAUAAGAGGAGAAUAAGAUACUAAAGGAUGAAAAUAACUUAAAAGAAGCGAUAGUGGUGUGACAACGGAAUGAUGAUGAAGAGGAAAAUGAUAAAGAAUUAAAGGAAAAGGAAGAAGAAGAAGAAUGAAACUAGCCACACAUUUUAACAACUGAUGUUACUAGAGAACAUCUAUCAACAACCAUCUAGCGACGAAUUUGUGAUGAUUGAUAUUUAUCAACAAAUUUUUUUAUCCAUUGAUCGGUAUUUAUCUAAUGAAUUUUUACUCAAUGGUAAUCUUUGAGUAAACACAAGAUAGAUUAUGCCUGCUAUUUUUUAUAAUGAUAUUACCAUGUAAAACUUUAUGUUAAAGGUAAUUUCAAGUUUUUUGUAUCAUUUGCUCUAACCUAUAAAGGAAGAUUUCUCCAAUAAAGGUGUACAAACUUCACCUGAUGAGUUGAUUUUGUAAAGUUAAGUUUAAAGUUUAAUUUUUAACAUGGUAUCAAAGUCAUUAAAAGUUUAUCUUAACGAGAUUUAUUUUUUGUUGGAUCUACUGUGUCACCCGCUAUUAGGAG
RNAcentral lists this long non-coding RNA (709 nucleotides) under Vigna radiata. RNAcentral describes it as "long non-coding RNA (VRAD_LNC005840)". The record is from RNAcentral. Lineage: Eukaryota; Viridiplantae; Streptophyta; Magnoliopsida; Fabales; Fabaceae.